This 254-nucleotide ribosomal RNA is filed under the name uncultured bacterium. Its description in RNAcentral is "partial 16S ribosomal RNA". It matches the Rfam family "Bacterial small subunit ribosomal RNA", at positions 524 to 776 of the family's 1533-position model. The record is from RNAcentral.
UACGAAGGGGGCUAGCGUUGUUCGGAAUCACUGGGCGUAAAGCGCACGCAGGCGGAUUGAUCAGUCAGGGGUGAAAUCCCGGAGCUCAACUUCGGAAUUGCCUUUGAUACUGUCUGUCUUCGAGUUCGGGAGAGGUUGGCGGAAUUCCUAGUGUAGAGGUGAAAUUCGUAGAUAUUAGGAAGAACACCAGUGGCGAAGGCGGCCAACUGGCCCGAUACUGACGCUCAUGUGCGAAAGCGUGGGGAGCAAACAGG